UACGUAGGGGGCAAGCGUUGUCCGGAUUUAUUGGGCGUAAAGAGCUCGUAGGCGGUUUGGUAAGUCGGGUGUGAAAUCUCCGUGCUCAACACGGAGGGGCCACCCGAUACUGCCAUGACUUGAGUCCGGUAGAGGAGAGUGGAAUUCCCGGUGUAGCGGUGAAAUGCGCAGAUAUCAGGAGGAACACCGGUGGCGAAGGCGGGUCUCUGGGCCGAUACUGACGCUGAGGAGCGAAAGCGUGGGGAGCGAACAGG
This 254-nucleotide ribosomal RNA is filed under the name uncultured bacterium. Its description in RNAcentral is "partial 16S ribosomal RNA". It matches the Rfam family "Bacterial small subunit ribosomal RNA", at positions 524 to 776 of the family's 1533-position model. The record is from RNAcentral.